Molecule: microRNA precursor, 127 nt
Filed under: Ornithorhynchus anatinus (platypus)
Lineage: Eukaryota; Metazoa; Chordata; Mammalia; Monotremata; Ornithorhynchidae
Description: microRNA oan-mir-181a precursor (oan-mir-181a-1)
Gene: oan-mir-181a-1
Rfam family: mir-181 microRNA precursor family (bases 19-100)
About the family: In this case the mature sequence comes from the 5' arm of the precursor.
Source: miRBase by way of RNAcentral
GAAUUCUGCUUCGAAUGGUUGCUUCAGUGAACAUUCAACGCUGUCGGUGAGUUUGGAAUUAAAGUAGAAACCAUCGACCGUUGAUUGUACCCUGCGGCAACCACCGUCCUCCUUUCUUCAUGCUUUC